This is a long non-coding RNA of Neoarius graeffei (lesser salmon catfish), 198 nucleotides long. RefSeq lists it as uncharacterized. The record is from RefSeq and is a predicted model, not a curated record. The transcript has 3 exons. NCBI's taxonomy places the organism in Eukaryota, Metazoa, Chordata, Actinopteri, Siluriformes, Ariidae.
AGAAGAUUUGUUUUUGGUGAACACAAUGUGUAACAAGGAAAUGGGCCAUACAAAUCAUCAUGGAAACAGCUUCAUACUUUUUAAAUGAAAAAUCUACGACUGAAGUGAAAUUGGCGUGUUACCUGCAAGUGAUGUAACGUCUACCUGAGGAUGUACAAACGUCAGUAUUGAGACAGGAGUCCAGUUCAGUGUUGAACU